Molecule: ribosomal RNA, 436 nt
Filed under: uncultured bacterium
Lineage: Bacteria
Description: partial 16S ribosomal RNA
Rfam family: Bacterial small subunit ribosomal RNA
Source: RNAcentral
AUGAACGCUGGCGGCAUGCUUAACCCCUGCAAGUCGAACGGGAAGUGGUGUUUCCAGUGGCGAACGGGUGGGUAACGCGUAAGAACCUGCCCUUGGGAGGGGAACAACAACUGGAAACGGUUGCUAAUACCCCGUAGGCUGAGGAGCAAAAGGAGAAAUCCGCCCAAGGAGGGGCUCGCGUCUGAUUAGCUAGUUGGUGAGGUAAUAGCUUACCAAGGCGAUGAUCAGUAGCUGGUCCGAGAGGAUGAUCAGCCACACUGGGACUGAGACACGGCCCAGACUCCUACGGGAGGCAGCAGUGGGGAAUUUUCCGCAAUGGGCGAAAGCCUGACGGAGCAAUGCCGCGUGGAGGUGGAAGGCCUACGGGUCGUCAACUUCUUUUCUCGGAGAAGAAACAAUGACGGUAUCUGAGGAAUAAGCAUCGGCUAACUCUGUG